GCCUUGGUAGUGUAGUGGUCCAGCACGCGAGCCUGUCACGUUCGCAACCCGGGUUCGAAUCCCGGCCAAGGCG
This 73-nucleotide transfer RNA is filed under the name Microcaldota archaeon. Its description in RNAcentral is "tRNA-Asp". It matches the Rfam family "tRNA". Rfam says of the family: Transfer RNA (tRNA) molecules are approximately 80 nucleotides in length. Their secondary structure includes four short double-helical elements and three loops (D, anti-codon, and T loops). Further hydrogen bonds mediate the characteristic L-shaped molecular structure. tRNAs have two regions of fundamental functional importance: the anti-codon, which is responsible for specific mRNA codon recognition, and the 3' end, to which the tRNAs corresponding amino acid is attached (by aminoacyl-tRNA synthetases). tRNAs cope with the degeneracy of the genetic code in two manners: having more than one tRNA (with a specific anti-codon) for a particular amino acid; and 'wobble' base-pairing, i.e. permitting non-standard base-pairing at the 3rd anti-codon position. The record is from RNAcentral. Lineage: Archaea; Nanobdellati; Microcaldota.